Mirounga angustirostris (Northern elephant seal) is the source of this 1359-nucleotide long non-coding RNA. RefSeq lists it as uncharacterized. The record is from RefSeq and is a predicted model, not a curated record. NCBI's taxonomy places the organism in Eukaryota, Metazoa, Chordata, Mammalia, Carnivora, Phocidae. The transcript is spliced from 3 exons.
AGCCCCGCGUCCUCGGGAGGACGCCAUUGGAGGACACCGACCGUCCAUCAACCCCCUCGCCCGGAGGGCCCGCCCCCCCGGUCCCACCCAGGCUGCUUCUCCCAGCGUUGGAGGCCGGGGUCUCCGGAGGUGUUGGGCUCCCGCCGCCCGGCCCUCCGCCCGCCUGGGUGUCCGUGUGUGUCCCGCCUGCCGACCGCCUGCCGCCGUCUCCUCUGUCUCUCGGAGGUCCAGUCCCGCAGAUCUCUUCACAGUCUCUCCUGGCCGCGGGUCCUUGCCGGGUCUGUGCUCGCCUCGGGGUCAGCCCUUCUGGGUUUUUCUGGGCCUCACCUACAGGAAAAAGCACUCCAUUUACAAAGGGAAAAAAAAGAGGGGACGAUGGGAUGAUUCAGCCGGCCGCUUGGAACACGUCUCCCGCCUUGCCCUUUGCAAGGCCUGUCCUUCGCCUCGACUGGGUAAUUUAUGUGUUGCAAUUUGAGAAAUCAGCUAGGUUAAAAAAGAAGUCUCCAUCUUGCCCGAAUCUCCUCUUAGGAGGCCUUCUUUAGGCUUAAGAAAGGCUGGAAACCGGGAACUCUUUCCUGCUACUUGGAACACAAAUGAAUGUGCUUUUAGUUUAUUUUGCUUUUGCAGACAAAAUGUCCCCUGAUUUGUCAAUAAAAAUUGGAAUGGGGAAGUUCCUGAGCCUGAAGUGCCUUGGUUGACUGCUCAACUUGGUUCCCUUGGCCCAGAACAGUGUCUGCUGCUCACCGGUUGCCCAAUAAAUGCUGAAAAGUGUUUGGAAGGGUCCUUAUGAGAAUACCCUACAAAGGGCACACCAGAAGGAGGGACAGGAGCAUGACAAGAUGAGAGUGAAUGAAGAAAAGGAAGAAUCUAGGUGGGCGGCCAGCAGAGUGAAGGAAGGAACAAAAUGUGGACCAUUAGCACAAGAGGAGGGGAAGAGUAUGGAUCUUUCUCUGGGAAAGUUAGAGUUUGGGAUUUAUCCAAGAGGAAAAAGAUUUUCCAGCUGAAGAGAACACUUUGAGUAAAAACACCGAAAUGGGAAUUCACAAGGCUGGCUGGCGUCUUGAGCACUAGGAUAAAAAGUAUAGAAAGAAACCGACAAUUUUACUAUUAUUGGAAAGCGCAACGUCCAGAACUCAGUAAAGAAGAGAGUCUGGAAUCUUCCUGCCACAGAGACCCUGCAAUUUAUUAGCCACGAAUAUAAACAGAAUUAUGUCUUUUGAAAUGAAAGCAUCCAGGGGUUUUUUUUUUCCCCUUGCUCCCUUUCUGGAGAAAGCAAAGACACAGUAUGAAAUUCAAGCCGGAAGACAGAGGUAAAGGAGGAAUGACUCUGACUCUUGAGCCUAAUAGCUAUGAAGAAAU